AUGUUGAGCCUAGAGGCAAGCAUCUGUUCCUCCACGACCAUCGGCAUGAUGUGCGAGGGUCUGAGGAGGCUUGGAAACAUCUAUAAUGGCGUCGAAGAGAUCAUCUGCCUUCCAAGCAGCCAAGUCUGUGCCUACCAGCAGAGGACGGUGUUGGAUGGAGAAAUGGACGGUUCUCUUGAGCUGCUAGAUCUAUGUGGCACCAUGCAAGAGAUCUUCGCCGAGAUGAAGGCCAUCAUCCAAGAGCUGCAACUGUCUCUAAGGAAAGGGGAUGAUGCGACUGCUCAAGCCAGUAUCCAAUCUUACACCCGCUUGGCGAAGAAGGCCAAGAAUCAUUUCAAGAAGACCACGAAGAAGAUUUCGGCAGAUUGCGGGAUGGUCAUGCUCUUGGCCAAGGCCAGAGAGAUCUCUGUCUCUCUGCUGGAGUCCACACUCCAUCUCUUGUCGAAGCAAAUUGAAAUGCCUAAACAGUCUCUUGUUUCCAAGGCAUUUCACAAAAAGAAGUCAGUUGUUUGCAAGGAGGAGCAAUUGUUGGGGUUAGAGUGCAGUAUCGGAGAUCUUGAGAGCGGAGCAGGACAUCUGUUCAGGAAAUUUGUCCAGAGCAGAGUUUCUCUACUCAACAUCCUUAGCUCAUAG
This 633-nucleotide ribosomal RNA is filed under the name Triticum aestivum (bread wheat). Its description in RNAcentral is "partial small subunit ribosomal RNA". The record is from RNAcentral. Lineage: Eukaryota; Viridiplantae; Streptophyta; Magnoliopsida; Poales; Poaceae.